UGCGUAGGCGGCCCGGAAAGUUGGGUGUGAAAUACCUCGGCUCAACCGAGGAAUUGCGCUCAAAACUACCGGGCUUGAGGAAGAUAGAGGUGAGCGGAACUUAGGGUGGAGCGGUGAAAUGCGUUGAUAUCCUAAGGAACACCGGUAGCGAAAGCGGCUCACUGGGUCUUUCUGACGCUGAGGCACGAAAGCUAGGGGAGCGAAGA
Molecule: ribosomal RNA, 206 nt
Filed under: uncultured bacterium
Lineage: Bacteria
Description: partial 16S ribosomal RNA
Rfam family: Bacterial small subunit ribosomal RNA
Source: RNAcentral